CCUACGGGUGGCAGCAGUGAGGAAUAUUGGUCAAUGGGCUUACGCCUGAACCAGCCAAGUCGCGUGAGGGAAGACUGCCCUAUGGGUUGUAAACCUCUUUUGUCAGGGAGCAAUUGGCGCUACGUGUAGCGUUAUCGAGAGUACCUGAAGAAAAAGCAUCGGCUAACUCCGUGCCAGCAGCCGCGGUAAUACGGAGGAUGCGAGCGUUAUCCGGAUUUAUUGGGUUUAAAGGGUGCGUAGGCGGUCGGAUAAGUUAGAGGUGAAAUCCCGAGGCUCAACUUCGGAAUUGCCUCUGAUACUGUUCGGCUAGAGAGUAGUUGCGGUAGGCGGAAUGUAUGGUGUAGCGGUGAAAUGCUUAGAGAUCAUACAGAACACCGAUUGCGAAGGCAGCUUACCAAGCUACUUCUGACGUUGAGGCACGAAAGCGUGGGGAGCAAACAGGAUUAGAUACCCGAGUAGUC
RNAcentral lists this ribosomal RNA (461 nucleotides) under uncultured bacterium. RNAcentral's name for it is "partial 16S ribosomal RNA". It matches the Rfam family "Bacterial small subunit ribosomal RNA", at positions 338 to 795 of the family's 1533-position model. The record is from RNAcentral.